CAGCAGCCGCGGUAACACGGAGGGUGCAAGCGUUGAUCGAAAUUACUGGGCGUAAAGCGUGCGUAGGCGGUUCGUUAAGUCUGUUGUGAAAGCCCCAGGCUCAACCUGGGAAUGGCAAUGGAUACUGGCGAGCUAGAGUGUGUCAGAGGAUGGUGGAAUUCCCGGUGUAGCGGUGAAAUGCGUAGAGAUCGGGAGGAACAUCAGUGGCGAAGGCGGCCAUCUGGGACAACACUGACGCUGAGGCACGAAAGCGUGGGGAGCAAACAGGAUUAGAUACCCGAGUAGUCCCUGUCUCUUAUAC
This 301-nucleotide ribosomal RNA is filed under the name uncultured bacterium. RNAcentral's name for it is "partial 16S ribosomal RNA". It matches the Rfam family "Bacterial small subunit ribosomal RNA", at positions 509 to 807 of the family's 1533-position model. The record is from RNAcentral.